ACUACAAAUAAUUCAAAAUGAACUUCCAAGGUACAACUUAAAUCACCUUUGACAAUCACCACUAUCCAGUAACCCUUUUCUCUCACCUUAAUACAAAUCAUUCAAAAUGAACUUCCAAGUUACAAUCAUAGCAAGAGAGACGGCAAUCGGAUUCGUCAGACAAUAUCUAUUAAGAUUACUUUCUAUUUACUAUUCACAAUCAACUUAAACAUGCAAAAAUUUCCGGAACUAAAUCAGAUCAGAAGUAUACAAACACCUCAAAACAUCAAAGGUGAAUAGAAUUUUCGUAAAACAAAUCCUUUUUAGCAGAAUAAAAGAAAAGAAACUAAAAAAACA
This is a long non-coding RNA of Hibiscus syriacus, 336 nucleotides long. RefSeq lists it as uncharacterized. The record is from RefSeq and is a predicted model, not a curated record. The transcript is spliced from 2 exons. NCBI's taxonomy places the organism in Eukaryota, Viridiplantae, Streptophyta, Magnoliopsida, Malvales, Malvaceae.